RNAcentral lists this unclassified non-coding RNA (316 nucleotides) under fungal sp. Its description in RNAcentral is "partial internal transcribed spacer region". The stretch from base 1 to 46 matches the Rfam family "Eukaryotic small subunit ribosomal RNA", at positions 1786 to 1831 of the family's 1831-position model. The record is from RNAcentral. Lineage: Eukaryota; Fungi.
AAGUCGUAACAAGGUUUCCGUAGGUGAACCUGCGGAAGGAUCAUUAACACUUAUAUUUUUAUAUUUAUCCAAUAUCAAAAUUUCAACCAAACGUGAACAUAUCUCCUCCCUACUUCGUGCAACCGGAGACGGUCCGAGUAGGCUAAAAUUUUUUAACAAUUUUUAACCCCAUUUAAAAAAUUCAACUCUUCGAUUUUUGCUUUGGAAACAAAACAAAGAACGAACUAAACUAAAAUAUACAUUGAUUAUAUUUUUCUUUUACGAAAUAAUAUAUAUUUAUUAAGAACAACUCUUAGCAAUGGAUAUCUUGGUUCUC